CCUACGGGAGGCAGCAGUGAGGAAUAUUGGUCAAUGGCCGGAAGGCUGAACCAGCCAUGCCGCGUGAAGGUCAGUGCCCUAUGGGCGUUAAACUUCUUUUGUGCGGGAGCAAUAAUGGUCACGUGUGGCCAGACGAGAGUACCGUACGACUAAGCAUCGGCUAACUCCGUGCCAGCAGCCGCGGUGAUACGGGGGAUGCAAGCGUUUUCCGGAUUUAUUGGGGUUAAAGGAUGCGUAAGCUGUGAGGUAAGUCAGCGGGGGAAUGCCCCCGCUCAACGGGGUGAAGUGCCAUUGAUACUGCCGUGCUGGAAUGCGGAUGCGGUGGGAGGAAUGUGUGGUGUAGCGGUGAAAUGCAUAGAUAUCACACAGAACACCGAUUGCGAAGGCAGCUCACGGAUUCGCGAUUGACGCUGAUGCACGAAAGCGUGGGUAGCAAACAGGAUUAGAUACCCCAGUAGUC
Molecule: ribosomal RNA, 460 nt
Filed under: uncultured bacterium
Lineage: Bacteria
Description: partial 16S ribosomal RNA
Rfam family: Bacterial small subunit ribosomal RNA
Source: RNAcentral